CGAGAAGGAGAGAGUUUGCUCAGCUGUUGGGAUGACAAUGGCAGGCAGCGGGCAGGACCUCAAGCUGGAGAAUGGCUCGGGAUUUUAGGACUGAACCAUUGUUCCUGGCUACUUGCUGUUAGUUAAACUGCGCGAGAACAUAUCCAUAGGAGGAGUUCCUACCUUGAGAAUGAGCUCUGAACCCUGUUCUUUGCACAGCCAGCACCUGUGAGCUCCUCAUUCCUCGGACUUUGCUUCGAAAAGAGGUGAUA
Molecule: non-coding RNA, 251 nt
Organism: Vicugna pacos (alpaca)
Lineage: Eukaryota; Metazoa; Chordata; Mammalia; Artiodactyla; Camelidae
Source: RefSeq, a predicted model, not a curated record